Molecule: transfer RNA, 79 nt
Filed under: Bacillus sp. UFRGS-B20
Lineage: Bacteria; Bacillati; Bacillota; Bacilli; Caryophanales; Bacillaceae
Description: tRNA-Asp
Source: RNAcentral
GGUCCCGUUGGUGUAGUGGCUAACAUGCCUGCCUGUCACGCAGCGAGAUCGCCGGUUCGACCCCGCGUCGGGACCCCCA